UGCCCAGCUUGCUGGGCGGAUCAGUGGCGAACGGGAGUAACACGUGAGUAACCUGCCCCAGACUCCGGGAUAAGCCUUGGAAACGAGGUCUAAUACUGGAUACGAGAUGCCCCUGCAUGGGGAGUGUCUGGAAAGAUUUAUCGGUCUGGGAUGGACUCGCGGCCUAUCAGCUUGUUGGUGGGGUAAUGGCCUACCAAGGCGACGACGGGUAGCCGGCCUGAGAGGGCGACCGGCCACACUGGGACUGAGACACGGCCCAGACUCCUACGGGAGGCAGCAGUGGGGAAUAUUGCACAAUGGGCGAAAGCCUGAUGCAGCGACGCCGCGUGAGGGAUGAAGGCCUUCGGGUUGUAAACCUCUUUCAGCAGGGAAGAAGCGCAAGUGACGGUACCUGCAGAAGAAGCGCCGGCUAACUACGUGCCAGCAGCCGCGGUAAUACGUAGGGCGCAAGCGUUGUCCGGAAUUAUUGGGCGUAAAGAGCUCGUAGGCGGUUUGUCGCGUCUGGUGUGAAAACUCAAGGCUCAACCUUGAGCUUGCAUCUGGUACGGGCAAACUACAGUGCGGUAGGGGUGACUGGAAUUCCUGGUGUAGCGGU
This 595-nucleotide ribosomal RNA is filed under the name Cellulomonas sp. 30AGIII. Its description in RNAcentral is "bacterial SSU rRNA". It matches the Rfam family "Bacterial small subunit ribosomal RNA", at positions 72 to 682 of the family's 1533-position model. Lineage: Bacteria; Bacillati; Actinomycetota; Actinomycetes; Micrococcales; Cellulomonadaceae. The record is from RNAcentral.